CAAUAGCGUAUAUUAAAGCUGUUGCGGUUAAAAAGCUCGUAGUUGGAUUUCUGUCAAGGACAACUGGUCCGCCCUCCGGGUGAGCACAUAGUUUGGUCUUGGCAUCUUGCUGGAAACUGUUGCUGCGCUUGGUUGUGUGGUGCAGCUUUCAGCACUUUCACUUUGAGGAAAUUGGAGUGUUUCAAGCAGGCACAUGCCUUUGGACACAGUAGCAUGGAAUAACUAGAUUGGGCUUUUGCUCCAACUUGUUGGUUCCUGGAGCUGAGGUGAGAAUCAAUGGGGAUUGUUGGGGGCAUCCGAAUUUAGCCGUCAGAGGUGAAAUUCUUGGAUCUGCUAAAGACGGACAACUGCGAAANCGNNNGCCCAGGAUGUUUUCAUNGA
RNAcentral lists this ribosomal RNA (381 nucleotides) under uncultured eukaryote. RNAcentral's name for it is "partial 18S ribosomal RNA". It matches the Rfam family "Eukaryotic small subunit ribosomal RNA", at positions 592 to 976 of the family's 1831-position model. The record is from RNAcentral.